Picea glauca (white spruce) is the source of this 121-nucleotide non-coding RNA. The record is from Rfam. NCBI's taxonomy places the organism in Eukaryota, Viridiplantae, Streptophyta, Pinopsida, Pinales, Pinaceae.
UCAUGCUUACAACAUAAUGUUAAUGCACCAUAUCCCAUUAGAAAUCAACAUUUAAGCACAGUCAGGCUAGAGUAGUAUUGGGAUGGGUGACAACCCUAGAAGUCCUAAUGUUUUACAUGCC